GAGAGUAUAGUUCAGUGGUAGAGCACAUGCUUAGCAUGCACAAGGUCCUGGGUUCAAUCCCCAGUAUCUCC
This 71-nucleotide transfer RNA is filed under the name Camelus bactrianus (Bactrian camel). It matches the Rfam family "tRNA". From Rfam's summary of the family: Transfer RNA (tRNA) molecules are approximately 80 nucleotides in length. Their secondary structure includes four short double-helical elements and three loops (D, anti-codon, and T loops). Further hydrogen bonds mediate the characteristic L-shaped molecular structure. tRNAs have two regions of fundamental functional importance: the anti-codon, which is responsible for specific mRNA codon recognition, and the 3' end, to which the tRNAs corresponding amino acid is attached (by aminoacyl-tRNA synthetases). tRNAs cope with the degeneracy of the genetic code in two manners: having more than one tRNA (with a specific anti-codon) for a particular amino acid; and 'wobble' base-pairing, i.e. permitting non-standard base-pairing at the 3rd anti-codon position. The record is from Rfam by way of RNAcentral. Lineage: Eukaryota; Metazoa; Chordata; Mammalia; Artiodactyla; Camelidae. RNAcentral also lists the same sequence under 2 other names.